GACAGAGGGUGCAAGCGUUAUCCGGAUUCACUGGGUUUAAAGGGUGCGUAGGUGGGUUGGUAAGUCAGUGGUGAAAUCUCCGAGCUUAACUUGGAAACUGCCAUUGAUACUAUCAGUCUUGAAUAUUGUGGAGGUCAGCGGAAUAUGUCAUGUAGCGGUGAAAUGCUUAGAUAUGACAUAGAACACCAAUUGCGAAGGCAGCUGGCUACACAUAUAUUGACACUGAGGCACGAAAGCGUGGGGAUCAAACAGG
RNAcentral lists this ribosomal RNA (253 nucleotides) under uncultured bacterium. RNAcentral describes it as "partial 16S ribosomal RNA". It matches the Rfam family "Bacterial small subunit ribosomal RNA", at positions 524 to 776 of the family's 1533-position model. The record is from RNAcentral.